UCUCUCCACAAGCCCACUGCCCACAGGCCACAGCCUCUCUCUCUCUCUCUCGUCACAACCCCUCUCUUUCCUCAGCCUUUGCCACUCGCUGCCAUCGUCCUCUGCCGCUCGAUGCCACCAUUCUCCAAGUGUCUUCCUCUCCACUCUUCUUUUUGUCCUAGCUAUUCUCUGGAAGAUUGUAGAGAAGAUUUUGAUGGUCAAUACUUAGGACUACUAUGCUUCUCCUUCUUCUAUUAGGAAAAUACUUUCAAAGAAAGAGGUCAUGACCGAAUCAAAAGCAUGGAAUCAUUUUGAUAAUUUCAUAAUAUGAAUGCCACCACUGCUACAAUCAAAAGAGUUCUAAUGACAACAAAGAAGAAGCACAUGUGGCAUUUACAACUUUUCUGCCUCAACUAUUAACGUAUGGUGGUUAUAAAUUUGAGGCAACUAUAAAAAGAAUAAUGACUAGAAGAAAGAAGAUCAUGAAAUAUGUUUUUCACUUCACAUCCUUAUUCUAUGUACUACUAUCUCCUGAGAAAUAUGUUUUUCUUUAAUUGUGACAAUAUCAUUAUAUUAUCUGUACACAUAAUUGUUAUUAUCAUACGAUAUGCAAUAAGUAUCAUAUUGUAACCAAAAAGUUAUGUAUCA
Molecule: long non-coding RNA, 627 nt
Organism: Quercus lobata
Lineage: Eukaryota; Viridiplantae; Streptophyta; Magnoliopsida; Fagales; Fagaceae
Exons: 2
Source: RefSeq, a predicted model, not a curated record